AGAGUUUGAUCAUGGCUCAGAUUGAACGCUGGCGGCAGGCCUAACACAUGCAAGUCGAGCGGUAGCACAGAGAGCUUGCUCUCGGGUGACGAGCGGCGGACGGGUGAGUAAUGUCUGGGAAACUGCCUGAUGGAGGGGGAUAACUACUGGAAACGGUAGCUAAUACCGCAUAAUGUCGCAAGACCAAAGUGGGGGACCUUCGGGCCUCAUGCCAUCAGAUGUGCCCAGAUGGGAUUAGCUAGUAGGUGGGGUAACGGCUCACCUAGGCGACGAUCCCUAGCUGGUCUGAGAGGAUGACCAGCCACACUGGAACUGAGACACGGUCCAGACUCCUACGGGAGGCAGCAGUGGGGAAUAUUGCACAAUGGGCGCAAGCCUGAUGCAGCCAUGCCGCGUGUGUGAAGAAGGCCUUCGGGUUGUAAAGCACUUUCAGCGGGGAGGAAGGCGUUAAGGUUAAUAACCUUGGCGAUUGACGUUACCCGCAGAAGAAGCACCGGCUAACUCCGUGCCAGCAGCCGCGGUAAUACGGAGGGUGCAAGCGUUAAUCGGAAUUACUGGGCGUAAAGCGCACGCAGGCGGUCUGUCAAGUCGGAUGUGAAAUCCCCGGGCUCAACCUGGGAACUGCAUUCGAAACUGGCAGGCUAGAGUCUUGUAGAGGGGGGUAGAAUUCCAGGUGUAGCGGUGAAAUGCGUAGAGAUCUGGAGGAAUACCGGUGGCGAAGGCGGCCCCCUGGACAAAGACUGACGCUCAGGUGCGAAAGCGUGGGGAGCAAACAGGAUUAGAUACCCUGGUAGUCCACGCCGUAAACGAUGUCGAUUUGGAGGUUGUGCCCUUGAGGCGUGGCUUCCGGAGCUAACGCGUUAAAUCGACCGCCUGGGGAGUACGGCCGCAAGGUUAAAACUCAAAUGAAUUGACGGGGGCCCGCACAAGCGGUGGAGCAUGUGGUUUAAUUCGAUGCAACGCGAAGAACCUUACCUGGUCUUGACAUCCACAGAACUUAGCAGAGAUGCUUUGGUGCCUUCGGGAACUGUGAGACAGGUGCUGCAUGGCUGUCGUCAGCUCGUGUUGUGAAAUGUUGGGUUAAGUCCCGCAACGAGCGCAACCCUUAUCCUUUGUUGCCAGCGGUCCGGCCGGGAACUCAAAGGAGACUGCCAGUGAUAAACUGGAGGAAGGUGGGGAUGACGUCAAGUCAUCAUGGCCCUUACGACCAGGGCUACACACGUGCUACAAUGGCAUAUACAAAGAGAAGCGACCUCGCGAGAGCAAGCGGACCUCAUAAAGUAUGUCGUAGUCCGGAUUGGAGUCUGCAACUCGACUCCAUGAAGUCGGAAUCGCUAGUAAUCGUAGAUCAGAAUGCUACGGUGAAUACGUUCCCGGGCCUUGUACACACCGCCCGUCACACCAUGGGAGUGGGUUGCAAAAGAAGUAGGUAGCUUAACCUU
RNAcentral lists this ribosomal RNA (1442 nucleotides) under Klebsiella pneumoniae. RNAcentral's name for it is "bacterial SSU rRNA". It matches the Rfam family "Bacterial small subunit ribosomal RNA". The record is from RNAcentral. Lineage: Bacteria; Pseudomonadati; Pseudomonadota; Gammaproteobacteria; Enterobacterales; Enterobacteriaceae.